GGGGGCUCAAUGGUGGAGUACUUGCCUCGCAUGCAUGACGCCCUGAGUUCGAUCCUCAGCACCA
RNAcentral lists this transfer RNA (64 nucleotides) under Dipodomys ordii (Ord's kangaroo rat). It matches the Rfam family "tRNA". From Rfam's summary of the family: Transfer RNA (tRNA) molecules are approximately 80 nucleotides in length. Their secondary structure includes four short double-helical elements and three loops (D, anti-codon, and T loops). Lineage: Eukaryota; Metazoa; Chordata; Mammalia; Rodentia; Heteromyidae. The record is from Rfam by way of RNAcentral.